UACGAAGGGGGCCAGCGUUGUUCGGAAUUACUGGGCGUAAAGCGUGCGCAGGCGGCUUCUCAAGUCAGGGGUGAAAGCCCAGAGCUCAACUCUGGAAUUGCCUUUGAGACUGAGUGGCUUGAGUACGAGAGAGGUGAGUGGAAUUCCCAGUGUAGAGGUGAAAUUCGUAGAUAUUGGGAAGAACACCGGUGGCGAAGGCGGCUCACUGGCUCGUAACUGACGCUCAUGCACGACAGCGUGGGGAUCAAACAGG
This 253-nucleotide ribosomal RNA is filed under the name uncultured bacterium. RNAcentral describes it as "partial 16S ribosomal RNA". It matches the Rfam family "Bacterial small subunit ribosomal RNA", at positions 524 to 776 of the family's 1533-position model. The record is from RNAcentral.